Molecule: long non-coding RNA, 878 nt
Organism: Nicotiana tabacum (common tobacco)
Lineage: Eukaryota; Viridiplantae; Streptophyta; Magnoliopsida; Solanales; Solanaceae
Source: RefSeq, a predicted model, not a curated record
GCUCAGAACCCUAAUUUUGUCCCCCUUAACAGAGAAAAAUCGUCUCCUCUCUAUUACUCAAAAUUCAUAAUUACAAAACUCAACAUUCAGUCUCAAAGGUGGGUUCAAUGUCCGAUUCAACUGCUACAUCAAAGAGGAGGUGCCAUUGUGGAGAGAUUGCCAAGAACUUCAAAUCAAUCACACCUCAAAAUCCCGGAAGGAGAUUCUAUAAGUGUGUUAAACCUGAAAAUGAGUCGUGCGUAUGUUGGGAAUGGUAAGACGAAGCCUAUCCGGACAGAGCGUUGAUAGAAAUCAACAAGUUGCAGUGUAAAUUAGAUAUUGCUAAUGUGACAAUCAAUAUGUUGAAUCAGUUGUUAGAUACGUGCAAAGUUAAAAGGAAAAAAUUGCUGGAAAAAGUUGAUGUAUUAGAGACUGUAAAAAAUAUUAAAGUGAAUAAAGCAAGGGAGAUGGAAGAGAAAUUGUUGAAGAUGAAGAUAUUUAUUUUGAUAUCAUUUUCAUUAUUUGUUGGCUUUCUUACGGCAAUGAUGAUGAAGUAAUGCAUUAGUUAAGACCAAUUAGUGCUUAUUGUUUUUGAUGAAGUUAAAUGUUGUUGAUGAAAUGUAUUGUGUAGUGCCUACUGAUUUGUGUAUUGUGUAUUGUGCCUACUAAUUUGUGUAGUGCCUACUUAAAUGUAUUGUGUAGUGCCUACUGAUUUGUGUAUUGUGUAUUGUGCCUACUAAUUUGUGUAGUGCCUACUUAAAUGUAUUGUGUAGUGCCUACUGAUUUGUGUAUUGUGUAUUGUGCCUACUAAUUUGUGUAGUGCCUACUUAAAUGUAUUGUGUAGUGCCUACUGAAAUGUAUUUUUGAUGAAGUUAUGAAAAUAUUUCUACUUUGUGUAA